RNAcentral lists this ribosomal RNA (248 nucleotides) under uncultured bacterium. Its description in RNAcentral is "partial 16S ribosomal RNA". It matches the Rfam family "Bacterial small subunit ribosomal RNA", at positions 29 to 292 of the family's 1533-position model. The record is from RNAcentral.
AACGAACGCUGGCGGCAGGCCUAACACAUGCAAGUCGAACGAGAAGCCACCUUCGGGUGGUGGACAGUGGCAGACGGGUGAGUAACGCGUGGGAACGUGCCUUUCGGUUCGGGAUAACCCAGGGAAACUUGGGCUAAUACCGGAUACGCCCUUCGGGGUAAAGGAUUCAUUGCCGAAAGAAUCGGCCCGCGUCGGAUUAGCUAGUUGGUAGGGUAAAAGCCUACCAAGGCGACGAUCCGUAGCUGGUC